RNAcentral lists this unclassified non-coding RNA (376 nucleotides) under uncultured Micrococcales bacterium. Its description in RNAcentral is "contains 16S-23S intergenic spacer region". Lineage: Bacteria; Bacillati; Actinomycetota; Actinomycetes; Micrococcales. The record is from RNAcentral.
ACGUCAUCCCCGGCAGUCUCCCAUGAGUCCCCACCAUUACGUGCUGGCAACAUAGAACGAGGGUUGCGCUCGUUGCGGGACUUAACCCAACAUCUCACGACACGAGCUGACGACAACCAUGCACCACCUGUGAACCGACCCCAAAGGGGAAACCACAUUUCUGCAGCGAUCCGGUCCAUGUCAAGCCUUGGUAAGGUUCUUCGCGUUGCAUCGAAUUAAUCCGCAUGCUCCGCCGCUUGUGCGGGCCCCCGUCAAUUCCUUUGAGUUUUAGCCUUGCGGCCGUACUCCCCAGGCGGGGCACUUAAUGCGUUAGCUACGGCACGGGAGGAGUCGACACCUCCCACACCUAGUGCCCAUCGUUUACGGCGUGGACUAC